GACCCACGCGUGCGGUUACCCCCACCCACGACUCCCACCACCGCCACCAGCACGCCGAUCCAAUCCCCUCGCCCUCCAAACUACCCCAGCCUAUGAAUACCUUCGAGUCCAGGAAGCUUUGGUCGUCAGGGUCGUCGUCGAGGCCGCCCAGAACGGGGGGAGUCGAGGACGAAGACGGUUUUGGAGGAGCCAGAGCCCAUCGCGGCUACCGCUGGCAACUCGUCGGAGACGGUCGAGGGGCGGGAGCUCAUCUGGGAGGCGAAGAAGCCGUUGAAAUCGUUCGAGGUGAUGUUGCUACAGUUGCUGGCAGCGGAGCAGGGGCGCUCGCACUUGGACCCUGCGUCGUCAGCCUUCCACUGCGAGCAGCGCCUGGGAGAAAGCGGCAACAGCAAGGACGAGCCAUGGAGGUGGUAGUGGCGAAGAGGACGCAUCGGUGGGCCUCAUUAGCAACGAAGUCAACCCCAAGCACAAUCAGCGGUUUAUUUCCACAGCUCAGGUGUGCUUGUAUUAAUGUUUCAAACCUCUACAUUUUAGUUUGGACCGGAUAACUCAAGUUAUUGACAAUAAAAUGGAUGGAAAAUUCCUGGUGUUUCUACUUGCAAAACGUGCAGUACAUAGUGGAGCACAUAAUACCACAUAUUCGACUAGCCUCCUGAAUCAACUGUGCGUUUUUGGUGACAUAUUGUACUGUUCCCUCAAGAUAGUUGUUUCCCAGGAUUAUACUGCUCAUUCAUGCUUCUGAUCCUUGACUUUCUAAUCAUUGUACAGUAGCAUAUGAACAUGUUCUUGGGGUAGUACAGUAGUAUAAAUGGAUGUUUGAAGGUAAAUGAGUAGUACAACAUUCGCCAUUUGUACAUAGAGAUUAAAGGAUCACUUUAAUAUGUCUUUUUGUCAACCACGGUACCUGGUGCACGUUGAGUACAUGAAGACCGACGAGUGGAACUGGGAUAAGUGGUUUCAAGCAGAGCAACAUCCCAGAGUUCUCCUUGGAGGCGACCACCUUGUAGGAUCAAACCAGUGUUCAGUUCAGGAUUUCAGAUAAGGAGACACCAAUGGUUGGGCUGUAACUUGAACACCUGAUCUGGUCAUCUUGGCAUCUCGGCCUCAUAUGUGAACGGAAUUGGAUGUGUUGAGGAUUUGUCUCUCAUUCUCCUUCUGUUAUCUCUACACUUGAUGUUUUUAUGUGUCUUCACAUCAAAAGAUUUGGACAGUGAGCAUUGGAGUUUGAACGGGAACAUUUGAUGUGAGAGGAAGAGAUGUCUCUCAUGCAACAUGGAGUGGGUUGACGGUGUGGCAGCUCAGGAUACUGUACAAGUGAUAACAUAGAUUUCAUCUAUCAAGUUUGAACAAAUUAUGGAUCUUAAUGUUUGCCUCCUAUUCAGUUGUGGCUUUGUUCGCAGGUUUUCAAUGUUAUUUAG
This is a long non-coding RNA of Aegilops tauschii subsp. strangulata, 1418 nucleotides long. RefSeq lists it as uncharacterized. NCBI's taxonomy places the organism in Eukaryota, Viridiplantae, Streptophyta, Magnoliopsida, Poales, Poaceae. The record is from RefSeq and is a predicted model, not a curated record.